Oncorhynchus tshawytscha (Chinook salmon) is the source of this 575-nucleotide long non-coding RNA. RefSeq lists it as uncharacterized. Lineage: Eukaryota; Metazoa; Chordata; Actinopteri; Salmoniformes; Salmonidae. The record is from RefSeq and is a predicted model, not a curated record. The transcript is spliced from 3 exons.
AAUACGGUUAGACGUUAAAUUUCGAAGUCACUCUUGAGCGAUCUGCCUGUCAGGAAGUUGAAAACCGCUACGUUUGCAGAGAGUGGAGGAGGAAUAGGAGGAUGGAAGGAAAAAAAAUACCUCGGUGAACCUUUGAACCUUCUUCUCGAACAGUCACAAGACUAGGUUCGUAUACUUCCUAAUCGGAGUUGAAUAUCACACGUACCGAUGCAGGCGACCCGGUUCACUAACAGUGAUUCGUUUGGAUAAAGAAAAUAAAACGAACGGAAAACGAGGCGAAGGGGAGAGAGCAGCACCUCGGCACUCUUCUACGCUGCUGAAAGAGAGUCGUUAGGAUCAGGAAAGAGAAAAUAAGACAACCAUCAUGUCAUCUGUUCAUUUCAAUCCAGGGUCAGAUUCCAAGGAAGUUAAUGGUAGUGUAGAGAAGCUGGAGGAGGCUAAGGUGGAGAUAGACGAUGGGAAGGAUGAGAGUGCUGAACCUGAUACCAUGUAUCAGUAAGUGUACACACACACACACACACACACACACACACACACAGUGCACAACGAAGAGCAAAUUAUUUCUGUAGUUAGAA